This 358-nucleotide transfer-messenger RNA is filed under the name Mobilibacterium timonense. It matches the Rfam family "transfer-messenger RNA". From Rfam's summary of the family: Bacterial tmRNA, also known as 10Sa RNA or SsrA, is named for its dual tRNA and mRNA-like properties. Lineage: Bacteria; Bacillati; Bacillota; Clostridia; Peptostreptococcales; Anaerovoracaceae. The record is from RNAcentral.
GGGGACGUAAUGGUUUCGACAGGGAUGUUGAACAGGGAUAAGCGAGCCGUAGUCGCCAAGUCUACGUAAAAAGUGGCAACCUAAAUAUAAACGCUAAGAAUAAUAAUAGCAAUUUCGCACUGGCUGCUUAGUUCAGCCCCGCGGGCCGGCGCCACUCACCUGCAGGUGACAUAACCGGUCUAAGAUAUGCAGGAAACUCCUGAGUGAAAGCCCGGCAGCUCAGGAACAUCACGGGCUGGCCUGACUGCAGUUUGCUGACAGACGGCAGGUAUGGCGAGACACAAAUUAUCAGCUGCGCUCGGAGAAAGUCUCUCGGAUGUGUUUGUGGACGUGAGUUCGACUCUCACCGUCUCCACCA